AGUGGUAGCUCAGUGGUUACGAUGUUGGGCUAUUGACCAGAAGGUUGUGAGUUCAAAUCCCAGCACUA
Non-coding RNA from Ameiurus melas (black bullhead), 68 nucleotides. The record is from the annotation of a GenBank genome assembly. Lineage: Eukaryota; Metazoa; Chordata; Actinopteri; Siluriformes; Ictaluridae.